UCCUACGGGGGGCAGCAGGCGAGAGACCUUAGCAAUGCGGGAAACCGUGACUGGGCUAUCCCGGGUGCCAGCCGCUAAGGUUGGCUUUUCCCCAGAGUAAAAACCUGGGGGAAUAAGCGGGGGGCAAGACUGGUGUCAGCCGCCGCGGUAAUACCAGCUCCGCGAGUGGUCGGGACGAUUAUUGAGCCUAAAGCGCUCGUAGCCGGUCCGGUAAGUCCUGUGCUAAAUCCAACGGCUCAACCGUUGGGCCGCAUGGGAUACUGCUGGCUAGGGAGCGGAAGAGGCCAGGGGUACUCCCGGGGUAGGGGCGAAAUCCUAUAAUCCCGGGAGGACGACCAGUGGCGAAGGCGCCUGGCUAGGACGCGUCCGACGGUGAGGGGCGAAAGCUGGGGGAGCGAACCGGAUUAGAUACCCGGGUAGUCCCAGCUGUAAACGAUGCGGAUUGGGUGCCGGUACGGCUUCGGGCCGUAUCGGUGCCUCAGGGAAGCCGUUAAAUCCGCCGCUUGGGGAGUACGGUCGCAAGACUGAAACUUAAAGGAAUUGGCGGGGGAGCACCACAAGGGGUGAAGCCUGCGGCUCAAUUGGAGUCAGCGCCGGGAACUUUACCGGGGGCGACAGCAGUAUGAGGGCCAAGCUGAUGACUUUGCCCGACGCGCUGAGAGGUGGCGCAUGGCCGUCGCCAGCUCGUGCCGUGGGGUGUCUGGUUAAGUCCAGGAACGAGCGAGACCCUCACCCCUAGUUGCCACCGCGCAAGCGGGCACACUAGGGGGACCGCCACCGCUAAGGUGGAGGAGGGAGGGGGCAACGGCAGGUCAGCAUGCCCCGAAUCCCCCGGGCCGCACGCGGGCUGCAAUGGUGGAGACAAUGGGUUCCGAACCCGAAAGGGGGAGGUAAUCCUUGAAACUCCACCGUAGUUGGGAUCGAGGGCUGCAACCCGCCCUCGUGAACCUGGAAUCCCCAGUAAUCGCGUGUCAUCAUCGCGCGGUGAACACGUCCCCGCUCCUUGCACACACCGCCCGUC
RNAcentral lists this ribosomal RNA (1021 nucleotides) under uncultured archaeon. RNAcentral describes it as "bacterial SSU rRNA". It matches the Rfam family "Archaeal small subunit ribosomal RNA", at positions 321 to 1354 of the family's 1478-position model. The record is from RNAcentral.